This 67-nucleotide transfer RNA is filed under the name Diversitermes sp. A TB-2017. RNAcentral's name for it is "tRNA-Arg". Lineage: Eukaryota; Metazoa; Arthropoda; Insecta; Blattodea; Termitidae. The record is from RNAcentral.
AAGCAAGAAGCAAACAUUGCAAUCAGUUUCGACCUGAUCUUAGAUAAUUAUUGAUUAUCCCUGCUUU